GCUGACUUAUAUAAAUCCUGAAACCAAAUUUCAGAAAUCCUUGUAUUGUAGUUCCUGAGAAAAAUGUGACGAAAAUUUUCAACUUGGCUAUCAUGUGUAAAAUCAUACAAGUGUUCGGUAAACAGGAAGUUGUCAAGUGAUGAAUCUGAAAACGCAUCACACAGUAUAGCUGACUUAUAUAAAUCCUGAAACCAAAUUUCAGAAAUCCUUGUAUUGUAGUUGCUGAGAAAAAAUGUGACGAAAAUUUUUCAACUUGGCUAUCAUGUGUAAAAUCAUACAAGUGUUCGGUAAACAGGAAGUUGUCAAGUGAUGAAUCUGAAAACGCAUCACACGGUAUGGCUAACAUAUAUAAAUGUUGAUACCAAAUUACAGAAAGGGUGGAUGUGUAGUUCCUGAGAAAAAUAUGACGAAAAUUUUCAACUUGGCUAUCAUGUGUAAAAUCAUACAAGUGUUCGGUAAACAGGAAGUUGUCAAGUGAUGAAUCUGAAAACGCAUCACCGGUAUGGCUAACAUAUAUAAAUGUUGAUACCAAAUUACAGAAAGGGUGGAUGUGUAGUUCCUGAGAAAAAUGUGACGAAAAAUUUUCAACUUGGCUAUCAUGUGUAAAAUCAUACAAGUGUUUGGUAAACAGGAAGUUGUCAAGUGAUCAAUCUGAAAACACAUCACACGGUAUAGCUGACUUAGAUAAACCCUGAAACCAAAUUUCAGAAAUCCUUGUAUUGUAGUUCCUGAGACAAAUGUGACGAAAAUUUUCAACUUGGCUAUCAUGUGUAAAAUCAUACAAGUGUUCGGUAAACAGGAAGUUGUCAAGUGAUGAAUCUGAAAACGCAUCACACGGUAUGGCUAACAUAUAUAAAUGUUGAUACCAAAUUACAGAAAGGGUGGAUGUGUAGUUCCUGAGAAAAAUGUGACGAAAAUUUUCAACUUGGCUAUCAUGUGUAAAAUCAUACAAGUGUUCGGUAAACAG
This 967-nucleotide long non-coding RNA is filed under the name Mytilus galloprovincialis (Mediterranean mussel). The record is from RNAcentral. Lineage: Eukaryota; Metazoa; Mollusca; Bivalvia; Mytilida; Mytilidae.